This 354-nucleotide unclassified non-coding RNA is filed under the name uncultured fungus. RNAcentral's name for it is "sequence contains ITS1". The stretch from base 1 to 109 matches the Rfam family "5.8S ribosomal RNA", at positions 50 to 154 of the family's 154-position model. The record is from RNAcentral. Lineage: Eukaryota; Fungi.
UAAAUGCGAUAAGUCAUGUGAAUUGUAGGCUCAUGCGAAUCAUCGAAACUUUGAACGCAAAUUGUACUGUACAGUGUAAAAGCUUUACGGUGUCUCUGUUCGAGCGCAAAAUAACAAAAUCGAUCUUUCUAUCUUGAUGAUUUGAAAGUUCUUCUUGAGGUCCCAUUGAUUGUAAUGAUUAGUGGUUCCUUUAAACAGAAUACAAACCAGUCAUUCAUUUCUAAAUGAAUUUGUAAGAUGCAAAAUACCAUGCGUAUUUAACAAAUUGCAAUUUUCAUCUUUAGAAUUUGAACAAUACCGUCGUAGAACCAAAAACUUUGCAUCGAAUCAGGGAAGGUUACCCCCUGAAUUUAA